UACAGAGGGUGCGAGCGUUAAUCGGAAUUACUGGGCGUAAAGGGUGCGUAGGUUGUUGAAUAAGUUAUCUGUGAAAGCCCUGGGCUCAACCUGGGAAGGUCAGAUAAGACUGUUUGACUCGAGUAUGGGAGAGGGUAGUGGAAUUUCCGGUGUAGCGGUGAAAUGCGUAGAGAUCGGAAGGAACACCAGUGGCGAAGGCGGCUACCUGGCCUGAUACUGACACUGAAGUACGAAAGCGUGGGGAGCAAACAGG
This 253-nucleotide ribosomal RNA is filed under the name uncultured bacterium. RNAcentral's name for it is "partial 16S ribosomal RNA". It matches the Rfam family "Bacterial small subunit ribosomal RNA", at positions 524 to 776 of the family's 1533-position model. The record is from RNAcentral.